AGAAAAUAAAUGGGCAUGACCCAAUAGAAAAUAAGUGGGCAUGGCCCAAUAGAAAAUAAAAAUAAAUAGGUUUGGCCCAAUUAGGAAAAAUGGAUAAGCCCAUGGAGAAGGCCCAAUGGAAAGUUGUCGUGGAGGCAUGCCGAACAAAGUAUGUGACCACCAAAUAGGAAUAAUUAUACGCGUACGAAUCAAUAGUGAAGUAAUAUCCCACUAUUAUGAGAUAGGGAUCAGCCUAGCAUGUAGUCAGUGACGCAUUCGGUCCACUAUGAAUAGGUAAAGGCAUCUCCUAGCAUUUUAUUCCGAGUCGUUUCGCUGUUAGAGGUCAAGUCGUAGCAUUUUAUUUAUUAAGUUGUAAACGAAUUCUAAAUUUUUAUAUAAGCAUUAAUUUGGAGAUUAUAGAUUUUAA
Theobroma cacao (cacao) is the source of this 406-nucleotide non-coding RNA. The record is from RefSeq and is a predicted model, not a curated record. NCBI's taxonomy places the organism in Eukaryota, Viridiplantae, Streptophyta, Magnoliopsida, Malvales, Malvaceae.